AAGUCCCGCAAAGAGCGCAACCCUCGUCUCCAGUUGCCAUCAGGUUAUGUUGGGCACUUUGGAGAAACUGCCGGUGACAAGCCGGAGGAAGGUGGGGAUGACGUCAAGUCCUCAUGGCCCUUACGGGCUGGGCUACACACGUGCUACAAUGGCGGUGACAAUGGGAUGCAAAGGCGCGAGCCGGAGCCGAUCCUCAAAAACCGUCUCAGUUCGGAUUGCACUCUGCAACUCGAGUGCAUGAAG
RNAcentral lists this ribosomal RNA (243 nucleotides) under uncultured Alphaproteobacteria bacterium. RNAcentral describes it as "partial 16S ribosomal RNA". It matches the Rfam family "Bacterial small subunit ribosomal RNA", at positions 1082 to 1325 of the family's 1533-position model. The record is from RNAcentral. Lineage: Bacteria; Pseudomonadati; Pseudomonadota; Alphaproteobacteria.